Molecule: small nuclear RNA, 107 nt
Filed under: Octodon degus (degu)
Lineage: Eukaryota; Metazoa; Chordata; Mammalia; Rodentia; Octodontidae
Source: RNAcentral
GUGCUCGUUUUGGCAUCACAUAUACUAAAAUUGGAACGAUACAGAGAAGAUUAGCAUGGCUUCUGUGCAAGGAUGAAACACAAAUUCAUGAAGCAUUCCAUAUUUUU